UACGGAGGGUGCGAGCGUUGUCCGGAAUCACUGGGCGUAAAGGGCGCGUAGGCGGCUCGGUAAGUGGGGGGUGAAAUCCUGCGGCUUAACCGCAGGGCUGCCUUCUAAACUGUCGAGCUCGAGCACGGUAGAGGCAGAUGGAAUUCCCGGUGUAGCGGUGGAAUGCGUAGAGAUCGGGAAGAACAUCAGUGGCGAAGGCGGUCUGCUGGGCCGUUGCUGACGCUGAGGCGCGACAGCGUGGGGAGCAAACAGG
Molecule: ribosomal RNA, 253 nt
Filed under: uncultured bacterium
Lineage: Bacteria
Description: partial 16S ribosomal RNA
Rfam family: Bacterial small subunit ribosomal RNA
Source: RNAcentral